RNAcentral lists this non-coding RNA (31 nucleotides) under Rattus norvegicus (Norway rat). Lineage: Eukaryota; Metazoa; Chordata; Mammalia; Rodentia; Muridae. The record is from RNAcentral.
UAGGUGGUAAACCUGCCUCACUGUCCCUGUU